This 1435-nucleotide ribosomal RNA is filed under the name uncultured organism. RNAcentral's name for it is "SSU rRNA". It matches the Rfam family "Bacterial small subunit ribosomal RNA". The record is from RNAcentral.
ACACAUGCAAGUCGAGGGGCAGCAUGGUCUUAGCUUGCUAAGGCCGAUGGCGACCGGCGCACGGGUGAGUAACACGUAUCCAACCUGCCGUCUACUCUUGGACAGCCUUCUGAAAGGAAGAUUAAUACAAGAUGGCAUCAUGAGUCCGCAUGUUCACAUGAUUAAAGGUAUUCCGGUAGACGAUGGGGAUGCGUUCCAUUAGAUAGUAGGCGGGGUAACGGCCCACCUAGUCUUCGAUGGAUAGGGGUUCUGAGAGGAAGGUCCCCCACAUUGGAACUGAGACACGGUCCAAACUCCUACGGGAGGCAGCAGUGAGGAAUAUUGGUCAAUGGGCGAGAGCCUGAACCAGCCAAGUAGCGUGAAGGAUGACUGCCCUAUGGGUUGUAAACUUCUUUUAUAAAGGAAUAAAGUCGGGUAUGCAUACCCGUUUGCAUGUACUUUAUGAAUAAGGAUCGGCUAACUCCGUGCCAGCAGCCGCGGUAAUACGGAGGAUCCGAGCGUUAUCCGGAUUUAUUGGGUUUAAAGGGAGCGUAGAUGGAUGUUUAAGUCAGUUGUGAAAGUUUGCGGCUCAACCGUAAAAUUGCAGUUGAUACUGGAUAUCUUGAGUGCAGUUGAGGCAGGCGGAAUUCGUGGUGUAGCGGUGAAAUGCUUAGAUAUCACGAAGAACUCCGAUUGCGAAGGCAGCCUGCUAAGCCGCAACUGACAUUGAGGCUCGAAAGUGUGGGUAUCAAACAGGAUUAGAUACCCUGGUAGUCCACACGGUAAACGAUGAAUACUCGCUGUUUGCGAUAUACAGCAAGCGGCCAAGCGAAAGCGUUAAGUAUUCCACCUGGGGAGUACGCCGGCAACGGUGAAACUCAAAGGAAUUGACGGGGGCCCGCACAAGCGGAGGAACAUGUGGUUUAAUUCGAUGAUACGCGAGGAACCUUACCCGGGCUUAAAUUGCAGAUGAAUUACGGUGAAAGCCGUAAGCCGCAAGGCAUCUGUGAAGGUGCUGCAUGGUUGUCGUCAGCUCGUGCCGUGAGGUGUCGGCUUAAGUGCCAUAACGAGCGCAACCCUUGUUGUCAGUUACUAACAGGUUCUGCUGAGGACUCUGACAAGACUGCCAUCGUAAGAUGUGAGGAGGGUGGGGAUGACGUCAAAUCAGCACGGCCCUUACGUCCGGGGCUACACACGUGUUACAAUGGGGGGUACAGAGGGCCGCUACCACGCGAGUGGAUGCCAAUCCCAAAAACCUCUCUCAGUUCGGACUGGAGUCUGCAACCCGACUCCACGAAGCUGGAUUCGCUAGUAAUCGCGCAUCAGCCACGGCGCGGUGAAUACGUUCCCGGGCCUUGUACACACCGCCCGUCAAGCCAUGGGAGCCGGGGGUAUCUGAAGUGCGUAACCGCGAGGAGCGCCCUAGGGUAAAACUGGUGACUGGGGCUAAGUCGUA